This 465-nucleotide ribosomal RNA is filed under the name Vreelandella stevensii. Its description in RNAcentral is "partial 16S ribosomal RNA". It matches the Rfam family "Bacterial small subunit ribosomal RNA", at positions 338 to 795 of the family's 1533-position model. The record is from RNAcentral. Lineage: Bacteria; Pseudomonadati; Pseudomonadota; Gammaproteobacteria; Oceanospirillales; Halomonadaceae.
CCUACGGGUGGCUGCAGUGGGGAAUAUUGGACAAUGGGCGAAAGCCUGAUCCAGCCAUGCCGCGUGUGUGAAGAAGGCCUUCGGGUUGUAAAGCACUUUCAGUGGGGAAGAAAGCCUUGGGGCUAAUACCCUCGAGGAAGGACAUCACCCACAGAAGAAGCACCGGCUAACUCCGUGCCAGCAGCCGCGGUAAUACGGAGGGUGCGAGCGUUAAUCGGAAUUACUGGGCGUAAAGCGCGCGUAGGCGGUCUGAUAAGCCGGUUGUGAAAGCCCCGGGCUCAACCUGGGAACGGCAUCCGGAACUGUCAGGCUAGAGUGCAGGAGAGGAAGGUAGAAUUCCCGGGGUAGCGGUGAAAUGCGUAGAGAUCGGGAGGAAUACCAGUGGCGAAUGCGGCCUUCUGGACUGACACUGACGCUGAGGUGCGAAAGCGUGGGUAGCAAACAGGAUUAGAUACCCGGGUAGUC